UAAGCGUACACGGUGGAUGCCCUGGCAGUCAGAGGCGAUGAAGGGCGUGCUAAUCUGCGAUAAGCGCCGGUAAGGUGAUAUGAACCGUUAUAACCGGCGAUACCCGAAUGGGGAAACCCAGUGUGACUCGUCACACUAUCAUUAACUGAAUCCAUAGGUUAAUGAGGCGAACCGGGGGAACUGAAACAUCUAAGUACCCCGAGGAAAAGAAAUCAACCGAGAUUCCCCCAGUAGCGGCGAGCGAACGGGGAGGAGCCCAGAGCCUGAAUCAGCAUGUGUGUUAGUGGAAGCGUCUGGAAAGGCGCGCGAUACAGGGUGACAGCCCCGUACACAAAAGCGCAUGUGCUGUGAGCUCGAUGAGUAGGGCGGGACACGUGGUAUCCUGUCUGAAUAUGGGGGGACCAUCCUCCAAGGCUAAAUACUCCUGACUGACCGAUAGUGAACCAGUACCGUGAGGGAAAGGCGAAAAGAACCCCGGCGAGGGGAGUGAAAAAGAACCUGAAACCGUGUACGUACAAGCAGUGGGAGCACAGGUUUACCUGUGUGACUGCGUACCUUUUGUAUAAUGGGUCAGCGACUUAUAUUCUGUAGCAAGGUUAACCGUAUAGGGGAGCCGCAGGGAAACCGAGUCUUAACCGGGCGUUAAGUUGCAGGGUAUAGACCCGAAACCCGGUGAUCUAGCCAUGGGCAGGUUGAAGGUUGGGUAACACUAACUGGAGGACCGAACCGACUAAUGUUGAAAAAUUAGCGG
Molecule: ribosomal RNA, 751 nt
Filed under: Salmonella enterica subsp. enterica serovar Agona
Lineage: Bacteria; Pseudomonadati; Pseudomonadota; Gammaproteobacteria; Enterobacterales; Enterobacteriaceae
Description: partial 23S ribosomal RNA
Rfam family: Bacterial large subunit ribosomal RNA
Source: RNAcentral